UGGAAAGUUCAUUCUGUGACCGUACUUAGCCAGAAAGGGACGGCUAACUACGUGCCAGCAGCCGCGGUAAUACGUAGGUCCCGAGCGCGUGUCCGGAUUUAUUGGGCGUAAAGCGAGCGCAGGCGGUUAGAAAAGUCUGAAGUGAAAGGCAGUGGCUCAACCAUUGUAGGCUUUGGAAACUGUUUAACUUGAGUGCAGAAGGGGAGAGUGGAAUUUCAUGUGUAGCGUUGAAAUGCGUAGAUAUAUGGAGGAACACCGGUGGCGAAAGCGGCUCUCUGGUCUGUUAACUGACGCUGAGGCUCGAAAGCGUGGGGAGCGAACAGGAUUAGAUACCCUGGUAGUCCACGCCGUAAACGAUGAGUGCUAGGUGUUAGGUCCUUUCCGGGACUUAGUGCCGCAGCUAACGCAUUAAGCACUCCGCCUGGGGAGUACGACCGCAAGGUUGAAACUCAAAGGAAUUGACGGGGGCCCGCACAAGCGGUGGAGCAUGUGGUUUAAUUCGAAGCAACGCGAAGAACCUUACCAGGUCUUGACAUCCCGAUGCUAUUUCUAGAGAUAGGAAGUUUCUUCGGAACAUCGGUGACAGGUGGUGCAUGGUUGUCGUCAGCUCGUGUCGUGAGAUGUUGGGUUAAGUCCCGCAACGAGCGCAACCCUUAUUGUUAGUUGCCAUCAUUGAGUUGGGCACUCUAGCGAGACUGCCGGUAAUAAACCGGAGGAAGGUGGGGAUGACGUCAAAUCAUCAUGCCCCUUAUGACCUGGGCUACACACGUGCUACAAUGGCUGGUACAACGAGUCGCAAGCCGGUGACGGCAAGCUAAUCUCUGAAAGCCAGUCUCAGUUCGGAUUGUAGGCUGCAACUCGCCUACAUGAAGUCGGAAUCGCUAGUAAUCGCGGAUCAGCACGCCGCGGUGAAUACGUUCCCGGGCCUUGUACACACCGCCCGUCACACCACGAGAGUUUGUAACACCCGAAGUCGGUGAGGUACCCGUAAGGAGCC
This 997-nucleotide ribosomal RNA is filed under the name Streptococcus anginosus. Its description in RNAcentral is "bacterial SSU rRNA". It matches the Rfam family "Bacterial small subunit ribosomal RNA", at positions 451 to 1450 of the family's 1533-position model. Lineage: Bacteria; Bacillati; Bacillota; Bacilli; Lactobacillales; Streptococcaceae. The record is from RNAcentral.